Molecule: long non-coding RNA, 568 nt
Organism: Rhododendron vialii
Lineage: Eukaryota; Viridiplantae; Streptophyta; Magnoliopsida; Ericales; Ericaceae
Exons: 2
Source: RefSeq, a predicted model, not a curated record
UUACCGAUUGGAAAUGAAACAAAAUUAGGUUUUUUAAAUGGUGGAUUUGUGGAUCUGUGUAAAAGUUAGGUUUUUGUUUUCAAAUUUUGUUGACGGUGGUGUUUCUGGUGAAAGGCUUCUCAAGAUUACAAGAUCUUGGAAUCGUGAGUGACGGCGUCAAGAAAUAGGACAAGUUUUUACCACAUUUCUCUUUUCACAAUCAGAGUCGACCAAUUAACGUAGGAUUAAGACAUUUUGGCUUAGAUCUCUUAUGGAUAUUUUGGCUGAAAACGAAGAGCUUGUAAGGAAAAAUGAAACAUUGGUGAUAAAAAUUGAGGAAUUGAUGAGCUCAAAUUAGAGUGUGGCCAAAAAAAUUGAUGAGUUGUGCGACAACCUCCGUAAGUUAUCGAAGAGAAAUUAAUGAAGAGUUGAUGAAGUCCUUAACAUUGUCUGAAACCAAAGCGUUGAAGCUCUAGCUUUUGUUGGUUGUUAUGUUAGUUAUGGGCUUUGCCAUUUGUUUUAGGAGUUUUAGAUUUGUGAACAAAUUAAGGAAACUUAUGAUUCUUGCCUUGAGGGAGAUGUCAUUUGA